This 1832-nucleotide long non-coding RNA is filed under the name Pan troglodytes (chimpanzee). RNAcentral describes it as "long non-coding RNA NONPTRT005118". Lineage: Eukaryota; Metazoa; Chordata; Mammalia; Primates; Hominidae. The record is from RNAcentral.
CAUGAGUCUCCCUUGCCUGCCCCAUCGGAGCCGCCGGAGGUGGAGUCCGCCUCCGGGACCCCCGAACUCCUGUGCGUGCCCCUCCAUGGUGCUCUAGGCUGUGGAGGGCAAGGCCAGUCCCCGGGGGCAGGGUGAGGAAGGGGCCCCCAUGCAGCCCUGCUGCGGAUUGGCGGGAGGACCCCAGGCUGGGCCAACCCAGCAGCCCCCGGCCAGGAGCGGGCAUCCCAAUGGGGAAAUCGGCCAGGAGGGGCUGGGGAAGCUGGUGCCUUCGCCCGCGCCCCGUGAGCUUUACCUCCGUGCGACAAGAGCGGUGGCUCCGGGCGGGGCCCACGCAGCUGGAGCCUCCAUCUCUCCUGCGGGACCAGAGCACCGGGAAGACCUGACCGAGACCCAACGUCCCCGCCCCCGUUCUGGGGCUCUCUGCAGGCCCCAACUUCUGCGGGACUCUCCGGUGGGAGCAGCAAGGGUUCUCAGGAACAACCCCUAUACAAACCGGGACAGAGGCACCUCACUACUCCUUCUGUGCCCCACCUUCUCCACUGACCCUGCCGGAGUGCAGCACACACAGCAAGCAUUUAAUAAAUCGCUUGAAGUGGGGAACAUCUGUACUCGGUAAAGAAACCACAGGAAUUGGGAACUGCUGGUUGAAGAUUAUUUACCAGUUCCAGCAAAAUUGACUGCACCUGCCAUACUGCAGGCAGGUGCAGCAUCAGGAGCUGGCGACCAGGGGCAACAGGCAGCACGCGUGCUCCAGCUCAGAGUGGAAGGCCCUGGGAAAUGGUUUGAUUUCCUGCGCUGAACUGAUGCUGCUUCCAGAAUGAAUCUGCUCCUUGGUGGGUUCUGCUGAUGUGGCCAGUGCUAGCCUAGGCCACGACCACCUAGCCCACCACCCAGAAGGCAGCAUCCCCUGCUCCUGCUUUAACAACCUGGCCCAUUUUCAUCUCUCCUACCUCUGGGAGUAGCAGGGGCGCUCCCGGAAGCUGACACCCCCUCCACAGGUCCGGCUGCAGGGGCUCCACUGGCCCCAGGGUCCCCAGGUGUCACUCUGCCGCCUCACCUUGGGAGCCUGCAGAAGACAGGACCAUGCAUCAGCAUUGCCCACUCACAGCCUGAUCCCAGAGGCCCCUCCAAAGAUGCUCUGCCUAAAACCCUCCCCCACCCAUCAAGAAGUCUGGGAUUCUCCCUUCCAGGGCCCGCCUUUAGGACUCAGCAACACUGCCGGGCACCCCAAAACAUAUUCCUUUUCAGAAUUAGCCUGCUUUCCUCAUAAGGAGCUGAGAGCCAGGCCUGGAGGGCGGGAGCAGGAGCAGCUGGGAAGAGUUUGGAGUUUCAGGGGCCACUGGAGGGAGGGACCCUACAGCCAGGGGCAGUUUGAGGGUCCAGGCAUUUGUAGGUUAACCGUGAUGUAGGGAAGGGGGCCCUAAAAGAAAAUAAAGGGAAGCAACGUGGGGGGAUCCUGCUAAUCUGGCCGAGACUCCCAGGAGUACCCCAAUAUUCAUCCCCUCCUUCUCCCAGUACCCCAAUAUUCAUCCCCUCCUCCCAGUACCCCAAUAUUCAUCCCCUCCUUCUCCCAUUGUGAGAGAACGCUUGAAAACUUGACUCAGCUGGGUACCUGGCUGCCCAAAAUUAAAAAAAAAAUACAUUUCCUGGACUGCCUGCAGCUAACUGUGGCUACAUCACUUAGUUCUCAUCAGUGAGAUGUAAAUACAAGUGUUGGGCAGCUGCCGCAAAUAAUCUCAAGAGAGAGCCUGCGUGAGCCUUUGUCCUUUUCUCCUUCCUCCUGUACUCUUUCAGGCUGUCUGGGAAGCAGAUGUGAUGACUGGAGUUGGAGC